Molecule: long non-coding RNA, 4508 nt
Filed under: Sorghum bicolor (sorghum)
Lineage: Eukaryota; Viridiplantae; Streptophyta; Magnoliopsida; Poales; Poaceae
Description: long non-coding RNA (SBIC_LNC017410)
Source: RNAcentral
GCCAUAAGGUAAUAUGGUAGUUAAUUAAUUAAUUAGUAUUUCUGUCUAAUUAAUAAAUCUACCUUCAUAUUUUUAUUUGCAUAAAUAUAAAAAAAGAAAAUAAAAAUCUUUAUUUCUUCAUUUACUGCAUCAUAAAAUAUUAAAAGCUCCACAGGAAUAAACUUAUGGUAACCCUGUAGGAAUAUUUACUGUGGUGACAUAAAGAAUAAUGAUAAUAAUAGCUCCUGUAUUUACUUUCUUGCAUUAUGAAAAUCCUAAGCCGCAUAAGAAUAAAUAUUCUCUGUGGAGGCAUAAAAAUACAACUAUAUAUAUAUCAUGCACACAUAUUUACAUAAUUAAACUAGAAAAUCCUAAAAUGAGAGAGAAUCCUGCUAGAACUUGUCAAUUUAAAAUCAACUCAUAAGAAUGAUCAAUUACUCUUUAGCUGACCGCUAACCCUUUAUUAAAUUCGAGCCUCGAGUUUUGGUUUUCUUUUUGGAGUGUAAUUAUGCAGGAACAACAUUAUGACAAGUAGAGAGUCUAUUAGUGGCACCCACCUGGAGCGCUGCCGGUUAGCUCACUCUGAAGAUCAUCAACACCAAUUAUUGCAAAUUUCUAGCUUAGUGGAGGAGCAUCCCCUAGUUAUCGGGUAACUAUACGUAGGCGAUUAUCGAGUCUAUUUUAUAUAGUCAUAAAAUACCAAAAAUAUGUGAGCACAUGAAGGUUCAUAAUAGUAUCAUAAGAAAAUAUUAAAAUACCAAAAAUAUAUAGGCACAUGAAGGUCCAUGUCUUUAGAGUCUUUUAAGUCCAAUAGAAAUGAAUAAAAACCAAACAAAAUACUUAUCUAUAUAUUAAUGUGUGAUCAUAGAAUGUGUCUAUAGUCAGUCUAUUUUAGAGUCAAAUAAAAAUUAGGGAAUAUUAAAGUUCUGUCUUGGAGAUGAUGAAUAGUUGCUCUACAGUAAUUCCUUUCAAGUGCCUAGUUUUCAAACAUAAAUUUUCCCGAGUUUUAGACAUGACCACUUUAAGAAUUUACUCUGGACCUAAAUUUUGUGGAGGCAUAUGUUUAAGCUAUGUCUAGGUGAUUGCUAUUAUACAUGAAGGUCUAAGCUGGUAUUUAUCUUAUUCCUAGAAUUACUAAGUUUUGGAGAUUUAUUUUAAAAAAAACAAAAUCCUACAUGAUGAGCUCUUGUAUGAUAAAGUUCAAAUUCCUACCAAAGCCAUAUUUUAUACAUUUAGAGUUAGGAAAACCUUUGCGCAUACAUGCUGCUUGAGUUUAGUCAACCUUUGUUGGAUACCUUAUGAGAGUCUUGUCAUGCUUUUAAAAUCAAGAUCACUUACACACUCCACCCACAUAUGCAUUACUCCUACUCUAGGAGUAAGCGCAAUUAUUUUCCAUUUUUCAUCCAGAUCCACCUUAAAAAUGUUUCUUCUCCUACACUAGGAGUAAACGCCCAAAAAUAUACCCUAUAGGACAGCCCCCAUUUAAUUGCUCUAAGAUUCUUAUCAUUAUCUCUCCAAUUAUUUAUAUUCAAGGGAUGCAUGUGGCUAUGCAAAAGUAUUUAAAAAAUAAUAAAAAAGAAGAAAAAAAUAAAUAAAAUAAAAAAGGGGAGUAAAAGAUGGACAAGUGUCCCAAUAAAUUAAAACAAUGGGUACAUCGAUGCCCACCUCCCAUAGUGAUAAAAAAAGAAAGAGAGAAUAAUGAUAGCCCAUGUUUUCCUGUGAAAAGUUUUGAGGAGGGAGUAAUUUUCAAAGAGCAAAAGUAGAAUUAGGAUUAGCCACCAAAUACUAUAUAUACACCUAUCCACCAUAUUCCAUACACAUGCACAUCUUGAUUUGAUUGUAUGCCUUGAUUCUCUGUGGAUCCAUUGUUUGACUUUACAAUAUAUGAAUUGCAUGUAUGCUCAUCCUUGUUAUUGCCACUCCUAUAAGCUCCACUAUAUAUAAAUCCUUAGUUGUAGGAAGGCAUAACCUCAUUAAUGCCUCAGCGAGAUCCAUAAAUACUACAUAAUAAGAGACUUGAGGGUGUCAUACAAUUAAGCUCUGAGUUUUAUUUUGAAAACUUACAAAACUCUAGAAAAUUGUUACUGUGAAGAAUUUGAGACAUAGUACUUGACUUGAUUGCUCUAUCUUUCGAUUACUCAAGACUUAUGCAAAAGCUGUAAAGCUCCAUGGUUAAAGGUAAAAUGGUUAAGUCUGGAAGUUAGACCAGAGGAAAAUUUAUGUUUAAACGCAAGUGUACUUAAAAGAAAUAAAAGUAUUGUAGCAACUCCUGAUCCAAGUUUCGGGUUGUUUGUCAAGGGACUGGCAAAAGAUAAGCUUGGGGAAUUGUUGAUGGUCGAUAAUGUCAAUAUUUAUUAGAACUUUAAACCUGAAGGAGAAACUAGUUCUUCUAGAUCUAGUCUUGUUUAGAGAUUAGAGAGAUUAAUUAGAGGAGUAGAGAUUCUGGAGGAGUUCCGGCAUGUCGGCGCUUCUUCAUGGCUGUAUUCUUCUGGAUUCAGUUCCCUCGUCCAGAGCUGCGUUCUGAAGUACUUUUGUAUUUACCCUUCAGGUUUAAGUAAGCAACUUGUUCUUAUUCGUUCUUUGGUUCACAACUAAUAUUGAGUGCUUUGAUCUUGGUCAUUACUUGGUUGAAGUAGUAUUUUGUAGUGUAGGUGUGGUGCUUAGGCUAGGUUUACUUGUGAAUGUCCCCUGAUCAGCCGGAUAGUGGUAGUUCCCGUAGGUGACAGCUGUGUUGAUUCCUCUGUAGUCCAUAUCCCGUUGGUAGGAUUGAUAGGCUUAUAGGUGCCUGGUAGGAGAUUACUCUGAUUCUUCUCUUAUUCGGGGUUACUUGCCCGAUAAGACAAUAUUAUACAAAGUUUACCAGAAAUCAGAGUCAGUGUACAUUAGUUGUUUCCUUUUUCUUGAUAUGACUCCCACCAGGUCUGAGCUGCUCCCUGAAUCUGUCUAGAAGCAUACAACACUUUUUCCAUAUCAUUGCACUGUGCUAUGUUUGGUUGUCUCUCCACAGCACGUAGCCAAUCAUGUACCUCCAUAGGAUCAGCUGAUUGUGUAAAUACUGGAGGUCUUCACUUCAUAAAUUCUCCACGCUUAUCUCUCACAUGGACAGGUGGUGGUGGUGGUGGUGUAGGCUGAUGCUGAAGGUGCUGCAUAAAGGCAUGCAUCAUCUCAUUCUAAGUCUGCAUAAGCUCUUCCACAGUAAUUGGGGCAUUAGCACCCCUGCCACGGCAUCUGCCUCUGCCUGUUCCCUUUGCUGCCAUCUGCAUUCCAAGGUACAUAAACAUAUCUCAGUAAUAUCCAACAUGAUAAAUACAACUGAUAAUUGAAUCUGAAUUUUUUUCUAGGUGAUAUCCAACAUUAGCAGUUCAGACAAUCAGUCAUAUCUCGAGUUCCAGAACUCAAAAGGAGCCAUUCUUUACACCUUUGGAAAGAUAAAGAACUUACCUACAACUUUCAUUUAUACCAUAUUAACAUAUUCUGUCGUUAAAUUAGUCAAAACUGGGUAUAACCAAAACGGUUCCAGAAUUCCAGACUGCGCAGAAGCUUCAACUUUGAACAGUUAUAUCUCACAGACCAUAAUGGAUAAUAAUGUCAUUCUUGCGGCAUUCGAAAGAUAAAGAAGUCUAAAUGUUCUCAAAAAAUUGUGAUAAACUUUUCACGUACAGAAUUUGAGAUAUACCAGAUUUAUUGCAGACUGCUCCAGAAAUCAGCAAGGGACAGAAACAGAAUUUUAACCAAACCCAACUAUUUAGUUCAUUAAUCCUUAUGCCUUAGGGCUAUAAACUAAAUGAAAUUGUGGAGAAAAUCCACAAGAUCAUUACACUCAUUACAAAGAUCCAAAUCAAGCAUAAGCAUAAUGACAACCAAACCAAGCAUUAAAGGUUCACACUUCAAGGAUUGACUCAACUUGCGGUACAAUCGUUCUCUUCCUAUUAAGGGUAAGGAUCCUAAACUCCUAUUUCAAUGACGCCAGAAAGUGGCAAGAGAAAGUUCUAAAAGCAUACCAAGGCAAGAAGUGAGGAUGAGAACAGGUCUUUAAAAUAAGCAACUAGGUGAAGAUGAAUAGCAAUGGAAAGGAUAUAGUGUAGAGGAAAGUAUCAAGGUUUAUAGAACAAGGAUUUUGUAGCAAUUUCAAAACCUUAAGACGGCCAAUUUCUAACGUAGGCUUGUGUCCGACAGUCAACAAAGCUCUGAUACCAAUUUUUCACACCAAAAUUUCAAGAACAAAAUAUAGUGCAUAAAAGACUCAUGUGCGCCCUAGAAAUAGUCGCACACAUAAGUUGACAAUUCUCAAAUAGCACCAUCACAAUGUUUAUUACAUAGCGGAAUAACAAAUAUUACAUAAUCUUAAACAAAUAAAUAUACUCUCGAUGGAAGCACCACAUAGAGACACUGUCAACUGGUUGACUCCAAGCCUAGUACUCAUAACGGUAGUCUUCAUUCCAGCCAUCUUCAUUAACAUAUCCUGAAGUGUUGUGAAUUAGCAAGAGUGAGCACAUACUGUACUCAACAAGUAUAACCAGGGGUUCAUG